RNAcentral lists this ribosomal RNA (1674 nucleotides) under Benthosema fibulatum (spinycheek lanternfish). Its description in RNAcentral is "16S rRNA". It matches the Rfam family "Bacterial large subunit ribosomal RNA". The record is from RNAcentral. Lineage: Eukaryota; Metazoa; Chordata; Actinopteri; Myctophiformes; Myctophidae.
ACCUAAAAAGCUAGCUCACCCCACCCCUCAACCCACUCUAACCCACCCACCAACACAAAGUUAACAAAACAUUUUACCCCCUAAGUACGGGCGACAGAAAAGGAAAGCCGAAGCAAUAGAAAGAGUACCGCAAGGGAAAGCUGAAAGAGAAAUGAAACAACCACCCCAAGCCACAAAAAGCAGAGAUUACACCUCGUACCUUUUGCAUCAUGAUUUAGCAAGCACAACCUGAGCAAAGAGAACUUUAGUUCAGCCCCCCGAAACUAGACGAGCUACUUCAGGACAGCCUAUACAAUAUCCGUAGGGCGCACCCGUCUCUGUCGCAAAAGAGUGGGAUGAUCCUCAAGUAGAGGUGAUAAACCUAUCGAGCCUAGUAAUAGCUGGUUGUCUAAGAAAUGAAUAUAAGUUCAGCCUCCCGAACCCCCGCCCCCCAUCCACGACGCAUGUCUCACUAGACCAAGGGCGACCGAGAGAGUUAGUCAAAGAGGGUACAGCCACUUUGAAAAAGGACACAACCUCCCCGAGAGAGAAAAGAUCAUUAUCACCCCAAGGAAACUUAUUUUAGUAGGCCCAAAAGCAGCCACCUAGAAAGAAAGCGUUAUAGCUUCUAUAAACCCCACCCUUAAAUACCGAACACAGUUCUCCACUCCUCAGCCCACUAUUAGACCCUCCUAUAAACCCUAGGAGAGACCCUGCUAAAAUGAGUAAUAAGAGUAAAUGCCCCUCUCCCCACAUGUGUUUAAAUCGGAACGGACCCUCCACCGAUAAUUAACGAACCGCCCACGAGGGAAGUGCUACACCACAUAAAUGACUAGAAAAUUAAGCACCCCCACUCGUUAACGCAACACAGCUAUGUGCCCCCGGAAAGACUAAAAUAAAGAGAAGGAACUCGGCAAACACAAGCCUCGCCUGUUUACCAAAAACAUCGCCUCUUGCAAAACGAACAAAUAAGAGGUCCCGCCUGCCCAGUGACAAAUGUUAAACGGCCGCGGUAUUUUGACCGUGCAAAGGUAGCGCAAUCACUUGUCUUUUAAAUGAAGACUAGUAUGAAUGGCAUCACGAGGGCUUAACUGUCUCCCCUUUAAAGUCAAUGAAAUUGAUCUCCCCGUGCAGAAGCGGGGAUAUGCUCGUAAGACGAGAAGACCCUAUGAAGCUUAAGACUUAAAGUCACCCAUUGUUAAAUACCCGUUAAAGGAAGAAAACAAGUUGGACCUUACUGACAUGUCUUCGGUUGGGACGACCGCGGAGAAAAACAAAACCCCCGCGUGGACCAAGGCCACCCACCUCCAAAAUAGACCCACAGGUCAAAUUAACAGAACUUCUGACCAUAAAGACCCGGCACAGCCGACUAACGAACCUAGUUACUCUAGGGAUAACAGCGCAAUCCCCUCCUAGAGUCCUCAUCGUCGAGGGGGUUUACGACCUCGAUGUUGGAUCAGGACAUCCUAAUGGUGCAGCCGCUAUUAAGGGUUCAUUUGUUCAAUGAUUAAAGUCCUACGUGAUCUGAGUUCAGACCGGAGUAAUCCAGGUCGGUUUCUACCUACGCAUUGUUCUUUUUUAGUACGAAAGGACCAAAAAGAAGAAGCCUCUGCACACAACACGCUUCAUCUCCCACUGCUGAAUUCAAAUAAAACAGCUAAGAGACACAAUCCCUAUACACUAGACAAGUGUUUA